Molecule: unclassified non-coding RNA, 582 nt
Filed under: Hevea brasiliensis (rubber tree)
Lineage: Eukaryota; Viridiplantae; Streptophyta; Magnoliopsida; Malpighiales; Euphorbiaceae
Source: RNAcentral
UCUUGCAUUAAUAUUAUUCCUCAAACCCAAAUUCAUUCCAAAUCUAAUUAUACAUUACCAAAACUCAUAUUAUUAAGGUUCGAUCAGACCCGAUAUCCAUAAAUAUCCAACCUAUUUCUAUCCUUAAAAGUAGUAUAGUGAUAAAAAAGGUAAGCAACGAUAGUGAUGACAACGAAUAUUAUGAUGGUAUCUAUGAGAUUAUAGAAAAUGGGAUGAUGGUAGCAAACGUUAAAUUGAAGGAGUGGUUAUGGCAACAAUGACAAUAGUCAUGUUUAAUAACAGUUUUUAAACUAGUGUUUAGUAUUUUUAUUGCAGUCAAAAUAUUACUUCUUUUAUUUGUACUAUUUAAUGGCAGAAGUGUUUGAGCGUUUAGAGAUUAAAAGAGUGGAUUAUGAAAUGUUAUUACUUCUAACUUUUUAAAGUAGUAUUUACGUCCUAUUUAGAAAUUGCUGUUAAAAUAGCAUUUAGUAUUUUGACUAUGGUCAAAACACUACCUGUUUUAUUUAUACUAUUCAGUGGCAAUUUAUUUAUAUUAGUAUUUAGAGAUUAAGGGAGUGGUUUAUUAAAUAUUACCUCUCUUAG